Molecule: long non-coding RNA, 886 nt
Organism: Prosopis cineraria
Lineage: Eukaryota; Viridiplantae; Streptophyta; Magnoliopsida; Fabales; Fabaceae
Exons: 2
Source: RefSeq, a predicted model, not a curated record
ACGGUCCACAACUAAUCUCAUUGGCUCCCCCUUUCUCCCUCUUCACUUCCAACAUCUAGCAACCGAUCCAGGACCCAGUGGCGGAGGCGAACGAGAAGAGCCCCUUCACCUUACCAUUCGCGUCAGUGGACUUGCCGGUGAACGGGUUUGAAGUUGGAGAUGAAUGUAGAUGUUGAAGAUGGAAGAUGGAGGAACUAAGGAGGCCAAACCAAUGUUAUCAGGUGCUGUGAUGCUGGUUUGUGGAUUUGGUUGUCAUGCGCUUCCCGUCGUAUCCUGAUCUAGGUGGAAUAAUUGACUGAGAUGUGGGUAUACACGAAGGCAAAAAUAGUCAACACUCGAACAUUUGAAGGUCAACGUUUAACAAUUUAAUGGCAGAACACUAGGUAAUUCAUUUUGAAAGCUGAGGAGGUCAAUUGGACCAAAGAAAAGUAUAAGAGACGAGGCUCCUGAGGGUGUAGUUCAGGAAAAAAAUCACGAUUCUGCUAUCACUACAAGCUUCUAGAAAUUUUGAGAUACCAAGGAAAAGCUAGCAAUGAUGCACACACUCACAAUUCCACUAUAAGUAUGAAAUUAUUACAAGCUUCUACAUGGCUUGAGCCUGUGUUAGGAUGGUGGGUACAAGAAAAUCAACUUAUUCUCAGACUGCAUGGGAGCGGUGAACAUGUUAACCUGAUGGUGCAACGAGAGUCACCCUUUCAGAGAUAUCAUAGCAGAUGCAUAGAUCUUGUUCUAUAAAGAUUGGACAAUCAAUGUUCAACACUUGAAACGUGGAGAGAAUGUUUUUGCUAAUUACCUUUUAUAGCUAAUUUGAUUUCAGUAUUAAUUCUAAAAUAAAGAAUAAGGUGAAUAAUUCAAACAAAAUAAAGAGUUGUGAUUUUCUUUCCUA